Gossypium raimondii (Peruvian cotton) is the source of this 1002-nucleotide long non-coding RNA. RefSeq lists it as uncharacterized. Lineage: Eukaryota; Viridiplantae; Streptophyta; Magnoliopsida; Malvales; Malvaceae. The transcript has 6 exons. The record is from RefSeq and is a predicted model, not a curated record.
CCCAAAUGCCCUAUCUAUUGAAAUCCCUAAUUAUCAGUCAGAGCCAGAGAGAUCACUGCUUUGUCGAUUUCUUACCCCCGAUUCCUCGGUUGCUUUUUUUACUUACAAGGAAAAGGUUCAGUGUUUGGGUUUCUUGCAAACUUACAUAACCCACACAGAGAAGACGAAGAAGGUGUCAUUCGAUUCUGGUUUUUGGUGAAUUCGACUUUUAAGGUUCGAUUUCUUUAUUUUGCGUAUAAAAAGUUUGGGUUUCCUUGUUUUUGUUUAUUUUUUUGUUUGUAAUUUGUUGAAGGCCCGUUGAAUGAAGUGAAAUCGUCUUCACAUAACCCACACAGAGAAGACGAAGAAGUCUUGGUCUUGCACCAAAUGCACUUUCCUCAACUCUCCAUCCCAAACCGUCGCUUGCAAAAUCUGUCUCUCACCUCCGUCACCGUCACCGUCUUCGCCGUCUAAAUGGGCUUGUAAAGCUUGCACUUUUUUGAACCUUUACAACAAAUCCAACUGUGAAAUCUGUAUUCAACUUCAUUCCCCUUCAUUCCCCUAAUAUCAUUUUUUUUCAAGAAGUUACUCUAAUGAUUUAUGACCUUUUUCGUGGGUCUAACUGGUGGAAAGGGUACCGGUGCUCUAUCUCGGACGACAUAGUGAGUUUGAGAGCUUACUUUUGUAUGCAGUUAAGCAAAUUGCCUGUGAAAUCCUUAACAGUCUGAAACAUAUUGCAUUGAUGGAGGCCAAGAAGAAAAAACUCUCUGAUUUACUGAGUAAGAAUUUAGAAGGGAUUGAGGAAGCAGCAAGCAAUGGCCCCAAAAGACGGAGAAAGCAUUUCUCAAACACCCCAAGGUGUUUUUAAGGUGUUACUGGAUUAUGGAUUGGCAUUCUGUAACUAUUUUCCUUGACAAACUUAGAAAUAAAGCAAUCACAUUCACUAUUUUUCAAGCCACUUGCAUCUUACUCCUCUAUGUUGAAUCAAAUUGAGGAAUUGCUAAGUGCUAGAGACUAUAAAGU